Molecule: long non-coding RNA, 200 nt
Filed under: Homo sapiens (human)
Lineage: Eukaryota; Metazoa; Chordata; Mammalia; Primates; Hominidae
Description: HSALNT0040334
Source: RNAcentral
UAGUCAGCAGGAGGGCAGGGAUCCAGACGCCAACAUAGACCACCUUUUCAGCCAACAGCUUCCUUGGCCUCUGACUGUUGGUGGCGUGGACGAUGGCCAGGAUGAGGACACUGCUGUAGAGGUUGACUGUGUAGAUGACAUGGACUGCCUUGCAUAGGAAGUUCCCAAAGUACCAGUUUGCCACGGCAUCAACUGCCCAG